GCUCUCGUCCGUGGACGCUGCUACUAGAUUUUUUUUUUUUUUUGAGACAACGCUGCUACUAGAUUUGCAGUUGUAGGAGGGGACCUGGUUUACCCACUUUGCUGCCGCCUCUAAAUGAGCCUGCAGGAGGGGGGCUAGGGGCUGUCUCCUCAUAAACCAAGAGGCGUUGCCUUUCCAGUCUAGCUUGAGGUGGCGACGGGGAAAUGGCCGCCGCGGUGACCGGCAUGGCCAUGCUGGCGGCGCUAGCGAUCCUCGUGCCGUCGGCGCAAGGGCUCGACCGCGCCGAGUUCCCGCCCGGGUUCCUCUUCGGCAUCGCCACGUCUGCUUACCAGAUUGAGGGUGCAUACCUGGAGGACGGCAAGGGCCUCAGCAACUGGGAUGUCUUCACCCACACACGCUGAGUAUAUACGCUAGAAACCAAAGGGCAUUUCCCCCUCUUCCCUAGCUUAUUCCCAAUCAACAGGAGAGGCAAGCUGCACAGAUAUUUUGAGUUUGUCUUUCGUCCGCCGAGGUGUCACCAUCCGUGGCAGGUUAUGAUUCUCUUUCAUCUACAGUUCUAGUAUAAUCUCCUUCACAUGUCAUUCCACGUGCACCAUGGGGAUAUUACUAGCGGCCUAUAAAUAUGGGCCAUGCCGUACGAGCUCUCGUCUGUGGACGCUGCUAGAUUGCAGUUGCAGGGAGGGACCUUGUUUGCCCACUUUGCUGUGGUCUCUAAAUGAGCUUGCAGGAGAGGGGCUAGCCGCUGCCUCCUCAUAAACCUUUCUAGUUAGUCUAGCUUGAGGCAACGGGGAAAUGGCCGCGGCGGCGACGGCGAUGGCCAUGCUGGCGGCGCUGGUGACCCUCGUCCUCGUGCCGUCGGCGCGAGGGCUCGACCGAGCCGAGUUCCCGCCGGGGUUCCUCUUCGGCGUCGCCACGUCUGCUUACCAGAUCGAGGGCGCGUACCUGGAGGACGGCAAGGGCCUCAGCAACUGGGAUUUCUUCACCCACACAAACUCUAGGGGAAUCGAUGAUGGACGGAACGGGGAUGUAGCGGAUGAUCACUACCACCGGUACAUGGAAGAUGUGGAGAUCAUUCAUAGUUUGGGUGUUGACUCCUACAGAUUCUCAAUUUCAUGGGCGAGAAUCCUACCAAGAGGCCGGCUUGGAGGCGUCAAUUCAGCUGGAAUAGCUUUCUACGACUGCCUCAUUGCUGCACUCGUGAAGAAAGGGAUAGAGCCAUUUGUGACACUGCAUCACUUUGAUCUGCCGCACGAGAUGGAGACGCGAUACGGCGGUUGGCUGGGCGCCGGAAUCCGGGAGGAGUUCGACUACUAUGCGGACGUGUGCUUCAAGGCGUUUGGUGACCGGGUCAAGUUCUGGACGACGUUCAACGAGCCCAACCUGUUCACCAGGCUCGCCUACGUGCUGGGCAAGUACCCUCCGGCACGCUGCUCCGCGCCGUUCGGGACCUGCGAGAGCGGGAACUCUCAUCGGGAACCCUAUGUCGCGGCUCAUAACAUGCUGCUGUCACAUGCAGCCGCCGUCCACAACUACAAGAAGAAUUACCAGGCAACGCAAGGCGGAUCGAUCGGGAUUGUGAUUGCGAUGAAAUGGUAUGAGCCACUGACAAAUACCACAGAGGAUAUCCUCGCAGCACGACGUGCCUUGUCUUUUGAGGUAGAUUGGUUUUUGGAGCCGAUAUUCUUUGGUGAUUAUCCCAGAGAAAUGCACAAGUUGUUAUCAUCCAACUUACCAAAGUUCACCCCAGAAGAGAAGAGCUUACUGCAGAAGAACAAGGCGGAUUUUAUCGGUAUAAACCAUUACACGACAAUUUAUGUCAAGGAUUGCAUCUCUUCUCCAUGCGACCUUAAGGCUUAUGAGGCUUAUGAGGCGAAUGCACUAGUCCUAGCUACAGGUGAAAGAGAUGGCGUGGCAAUUGGGAAACCCACUGCAUUCGAUGGUUACUAUGAUGUUCCAGAGGGUAUGGAGCAGAUCGUCAAGUAUGUUAAUCAGAGAUACAAGAACACACCUCUCUAUGUUACUGAAAAUGGUUACUCGCAACACAGCAAUGACACUAUGGACAAAUUGAUCAAUGACGUUGAAAGAGUGAACUACCUACAUGGUUAUCUCACAUGUCUCUCUUCAGCAGUCAGGAAAGGAGCAAACGUGCGUGGCUACUUCGUAUGGAGUAUCAUCGACAACUUCGAGUGGACUUUCGGUUUUACGGUAAGGUUCGGGCUGUAUCAUGUGGAUUAUGGAACGCAGAAGAGGACUCCAAAGAUGUCGGCGAAGUGGUACCGAGACUUCCUCAUGGGCUCUAGGCCGACGGACCAAGUGCAGAUGCUAAGAGCAGAUUCAUGAUAGUUGCAGCCAGUACUGUCAGAUCCAGUUACCCGUAAAAAGAAACUGUCGGAGAGAGUAGUAAUUAAGAAAAAAAAAGUUUGUUUACUUGCUUAUCUUGAAGAUUUCUAAUGGGAUUUUUACAUACUUCCUGCCCUGGACAAGAGCAGAGCAGAGCCAUAUGCCUGACAUAGUUUGUACACCAUGACACAUGCUACUGAAUCCUCUUUCAGGAGCUGCUAUAUAGCAUUGCACGUAGUUCCUUGCAACAUGCUGCAACAAAAGGCUCGGAAAGAUUUUGCAUCCAGACCAUGAAAAAACUUCUAGACCUCUUCCUUCCACUACCAUUUAUACAUCAACACUUGCAUCACAAAUCAUUCAGAAACUUCAGGCGGUGUGAGCAGAGUAUGCUCUGUUUUGCUUACAUAUCUGUAGAAAAAAUGAGUGAAGAACUGGAUCUCUGCGUACAUCCACACGUAUCUCCUCGCCACUGCACAUACGCGCAUUUUCAGGUUAGUUACCGUUGCAGUGAGGGUUUUAUCAUGGCAGUUCAUAUCAAAAAAUUUAGUCUGUGUUCUGAGGUGGACGGUGGUUAAUGUGAUAGUGUCGUACCCAUGCUUGUUGUGAUGAGUGAUGAGAAGAGGCCUAGGAUACAUGAGAAUGGAAGCGAUAUCGCCAGGGCUGUCAGCCACCAGCAACAAACAAAUUGUUAUCGAUCCAAUGUAAACAAGUUGUAAGAACAAUCAACAAGAGCGAUAGAAAUGAAUACCAGCAAUUGCUCCAAGAAGCAAAAAUAUGCGAGGAUGCUUAUGAUCACAAGGAUAGGUGUCCCAUGCCACAGCCUGAGUAACAAAAUUACGAAAGAAUCACCAUCAGGUUGCAUAAUUCUGUGACUGUACUAGGUGUUACUAAUAUACUACAGUAUGAGAUUAGCACACAUCAUUCCAAUUCCAGAAGAAAUUCUAUGUCGAUCUGUCACAAAGC
Molecule: ribosomal RNA, 3303 nt
Filed under: Triticum aestivum (bread wheat)
Lineage: Eukaryota; Viridiplantae; Streptophyta; Magnoliopsida; Poales; Poaceae
Description: partial small subunit ribosomal RNA
Source: RNAcentral